AAACUGGAGAGUUUGAUCCUGGCUCAGAACAAACGCUGGCGGCGUGCCUAACACAUGCAAGUCGUACGUGAAAGUCCGCUUCGGCGGAUGAGUAAAGUGGCGCACGGGUGAGUAACGCGUGGAUAAUCUGCCCUAUAGUCGGGGAUAACUCAUCGAAAGGUGAGCUAAUACCGGAUAAUGCUGUUUUUGCUUCGGCUAAGCAGCCAAAGGGGGCCUCUAUUUAUAAGCUUUCGCUAAAGGAUGAGUCCGCGUACCAUUAGCUUGUUGGCAGGGUAACGGCCUACCAAGGCGACGAUGGUUAGCUGGUCUGAGAGGAUGAUCAGCCACACUGGAACUGAGAUACGGUCCAGACUCCUACGGGAGGCAGCAGUGAGGAAUCUUGCGCAAUGGGGGAAACCCUGACGCAGCAACGCCGCGUGAGUGAGGAAGGUCUUCGGAUCGUAAAGCUCUGUCGGGUGGAAAGAAAUGUAUGAGUGCUAAUACCGCUCGUACUUGACGGUACCACCAGAGGAAGCACCGGCUAACUCCGUGCCAGCAGCCGCGGUAAUACGGGGGGUGCAAGCGUUGUUCGGAAUUAUUGGGCGUAAAGAGCGUGUAGGCGGCUUGAUAAGUCAGAUGUGAAAGCCCUGGGCUUAACCCAGGAAGUGCAUUUGAAACUGUCUUGCUGGAGUAAGGGAGGGGGAAGUGGAAUUCCUGGUGUAGAGGUGAAAUUCGUAGAUAUCAGGAGGAACACCGGUGGCGAAGGCGACUUCCU
Molecule: ribosomal RNA, 754 nt
Filed under: Syntrophobacteraceae bacterium CG23_combo_of_CG06-09_8_20_14_all_50_8
Lineage: Bacteria; Pseudomonadati; Thermodesulfobacteriota; Syntrophobacteria; Syntrophobacterales; Syntrophobacteraceae
Description: bacterial SSU rRNA
Rfam family: Bacterial small subunit ribosomal RNA
Source: RNAcentral